Molecule: non-coding RNA, 105 nt
Organism: Oreochromis niloticus (Nile tilapia)
Lineage: Eukaryota; Metazoa; Chordata; Actinopteri; Cichliformes; Cichlidae
Source: Rfam
CUGCGGUGCGGUUCUGGUGUGCAAAGGCUGCAGACAGCGACUCUUUGGUUGUGUAUGUCCUCAGCUGGGAGGUGCUGAGUGCUUUAAGGGACCACUGAGACAAAA